Molecule: ribosomal RNA, 497 nt
Filed under: uncultured bacterium
Lineage: Bacteria
Description: partial 16S ribosomal RNA
Rfam family: Bacterial small subunit ribosomal RNA
Source: RNAcentral
GAUGAACGCUGGCGGCGUGCCUAAUACAUGCAAGUCGAGCGAACAGACGAGGAGCUUGCUCCUCUGACGUUAGCGGCGGACGGGUGAGUAACACGUGGAUAACCUACCUAUAAGACUGGGAUAACUUCGGGAAACCGGAGCUAAUACCGGAUAAUAUAUUGAACCGCAUGGUUCAAUAGUGAAAGACGGUUUUGCUGUCACUUCUAGAUGGAUCCGCGCCGCAUUAGCUAGUUGGUAAGGUAACGGCUUACCAAGGCAACGAUGCGUAGCCGACCUGAGAGGGUGAUCGGCCACACUGGAACUGAGACACGGUCCAGACUCCUACGGGAGGCAGCAGUAGGGAAUCGUCCGCAAUGGGCGAAAGCCUGACGGAGCAACGCCGCGUGAGUGAUGAAGGUCUUCGGAUCGUAAAACUCUGUUAUUAGGGAAGAACAAAUGUGUAAGUAACUAUGCACGUCUUGACGGUAACUAAUCAGAAAGCCACGGCUAACUACGUG